This 542-nucleotide ribosomal RNA is filed under the name Hyperolius kuligae (Kuliga reed frog). Its description in RNAcentral is "partial large subunit ribosomal RNA". It matches the Rfam family "Bacterial large subunit ribosomal RNA", at positions 1852 to 2606 of the family's 2925-position model. Lineage: Eukaryota; Metazoa; Chordata; Amphibia; Anura; Hyperoliidae. The record is from RNAcentral.
GUCCCGCCUGCCCCGUGAUUUAAUUUAACGGCCGCGGUAUCUUAACCGUGCAAAGGUAGCAUAAUCAAUUGUCCUUUAAAUUAGGACUAGUAUGAAUGGCACCACGAGGGUUUAACUGUCUCCCUGUUUUUAUUAAUGAAAUUAAUCUUCCCGUGAAGAAACGGGAAUAUAAAUAUAAGACGAGAAGACCCCAUGGAGCUUUAAACUAAUUACCACUUAUUUAAUAGCACAACAUACCACUUGAUAAGAAUGUUCUUUAAUAGUUUUUGGUUGGGGCGACCCUGGAGAAAAACAAAUCCUCCAGAUUGAAAGGAACAACAACCCUUAUAUAAGAACCACAAUUCAAACAAACAAAAUUUUGACAAAACUGACCCAAAUUUAUUGAUCAGUGAACCAAGUUACCCUGGGGAUAACAGCGCAAUCCAUUUCAAGAGCCCAUAUCGACAAAUGGGUUUACGACCUCGAUGUUGGAUCGGGGUAUCCUAGCAGCGCAGCUGUUGCUAAUGGUUCGUUUGUUCAACGAUUAAUACCCCACGUGAUCU